CAAAAUGCUGAUCCAGUAACUGCUGUAGAAUUUCUUGCCAAAUAUUGCCAAUGGGCCGUAGUAACACUGGGUCCUAAUGGAUGCAUUGCUAAAUAUGGAAACGAGAUUGCACGUGUCCCGGCAAUAGGAGAAGCAAAGGCAACUGAUGCAACAGGGGCAGGGGAUCUUUUUGCAAGUGGAUUUUUGUAUGGAGUGAUCAAAGGUCUGUCACUUGAAGAGUGCUGCAAAGUGGGCGCAUGCAGCCAUGAAGCACCGACACCAACACUGGACACAACACGGACACGUGGAUACCGGACACUUAUACGGACACGUGUUGGACACCGGACACAGCAAGGGACUAGAGUAUCCGUGCUUCAUAGGCAUGCAAUAGUAGGUCUGUUGUUCGCUCUCUGGCGGCGAAGUCACUUUGAAGAAUUGCCACUGGAUGUACAAACAAAUGCAAAUAAAGGAUCUUCCCACGCCUGAUAUAUCCAAAUAACUAAUGAAUAGUCUCAGUGAAAGAAAGAAAGUUACUUGCUUCAAUGUUUCCUUUUUCUUUCUUUCUUUCUUUACAUUUCAUCUUUUGCCACUAAAUGGCAGCUAUUGUUCCAGUUGUGUACUGGUUUAAUUAAUAAAUGCAAGCAAGCCUUAACAAAUUCCACGGAAGAAACACACAAGUAUACUUGAGCCUCGAAUAUAUCUAAGCUUGAUGCAAGUAGGAUUUGUCAUUCCUAGCUUAAUUUUAAAACAUAACAAACUCAAUGGUUACUUUGAUUU
Long non-coding RNA from Glycine soja, 756 nucleotides. RefSeq lists it as uncharacterized. NCBI's taxonomy places the organism in Eukaryota, Viridiplantae, Streptophyta, Magnoliopsida, Fabales, Fabaceae. The record is from RefSeq and is a predicted model, not a curated record. The transcript is spliced from 2 exons.